RNAcentral lists this ribosomal RNA (156 nucleotides) under Triticum aestivum (bread wheat). RNAcentral describes it as "rRNA 5_8S_rRNA". It matches the Rfam family "5.8S ribosomal RNA". From Rfam's summary of the family: 5.8S ribosomal RNA (5.8S rRNA) is a component of the large subunit of the eukaryotic ribosome. It is transcribed by RNA polymerase I as part of the 45S precursor that also contains 18S and 28S rRNA. Functionally, it is thought that 5.8S rRNA may be involved in ribosome translocation. The record is from RNAcentral. Lineage: Eukaryota; Viridiplantae; Streptophyta; Magnoliopsida; Poales; Poaceae.
GACUCUCGGCAACGGAUAUCUCGGCUCUCGCAUCGAUGAAGAACGUAGCGAAAUGCGAUACCUGGUGUGAAUUGCAGAAUCCCGCGAACCAUCGAGUCUUUGAAUGCAAGUUGCGCCCGAGGCCACUCGGCCGAGGGCACGCCUGCCUGGGCGUCA